Molecule: small RNA, 978 nt
Filed under: Arabidopsis thaliana (thale cress)
Lineage: Eukaryota; Viridiplantae; Streptophyta; Magnoliopsida; Brassicales; Brassicaceae
Description: ATSL193620
Source: RNAcentral
UUUUUGUUUUGGAGGGUCAAGUUUGGUGCCCGAUGCUUUUCCAACGGUGAAACUUUUACCCUCGCAAAUCCGUCGGAAAUAUAAAAUAUUUUUCUUAUACAUGUAUAAAGUCCUCAUCUCAUUUCCAAAUGAGUGAACUCGGCGUUACAAACACGCUCUUGAGAUACUUAUAACAUCAAUCAUUUCCUUUUCGUGGCUAGUUUCCAUGUCCUUGGAGUGAAAUUUCUGUGAAUCUGCAUUGAGAAUUAGAUUUGAUAUAAUCUUGCUUUGUUUGACUUGAGUACUAGCUCACAAAACUUCUACUUAAGGCAAAUUUUCUAAGUUUAUGAUAGUUAUGUGUGUGUAUUGAUGCACAAAAAUGCAUUGAUGUGCAUUCUUCUAGGAGCUUAUUCAAGUCUGACUUAUAACAUGUUACAGAGUGGAUGGUUCAGAUAAAGAAUCAAAGAUCUCAGAUGAUGAUUAUGGCGGGACGUUUCUGCUUGUGACGUGUUCUCCACCUAGAUUUGAUCGAUAACUCUAACCACACAAUAAUAGUGCUGAAUUGAGAUAGAAAUUUAAUGAAGCUUUUGAUCAAUAAUGGUGACGACGAGAGGCUCCAUCUAAGUCGACGAAGAAGACAAAAUAUAUUAGAGUUCAUGAACUCAACGUGGGUUUAGUAGUUUCAACCUAUAGAGGAAAAAUAAAAACAGAUCAAAGAUAAUCAAAUAAAAACCAAAAAUCGUUGGAGAGAGAUUUGUUUACCCCUUCACGUGGAUGCUAUUAUUAAAAGACGACUACGUCUAUGAAUUUGAUGAGCUAACAACUGAAGGCGACGAACAGAUCACGACUAUGACUUUUUUGAUGAGCUAAGAACGGAAGAAGGCGACUAUAGCUUGUUCAAUAUAUAAUUUUGAGAAGAUGUGGGGAUGCUAAAUCCUAUUUUUCUUUUUAUUAUUAUCCACAAAUUUUAUUUGAGUAAAUCCUAUUAAACUUAUUUUU